AAAGAAAAAAAAAAUUCUUCAAUUUCUCUCCAAUUCCUCCUCAAAGUAAAAAAGCAUAAAAAAUAAUUCCAUCAUAAUAAUUUAUAGAAGAAUCACUUUUCCUCCGGCAAAGUUAAAACUCCGUCCGUCGCCGAUCCUCCGUUGACUCUGUUUCGACGGUGAAGAUGAACCAAAGUCAAGGUCAGCAAACAAGUGAAGGAAGACACGAGGAUGACGCUGCUCUCGCCGAUUUCCUUGCUUCCUUAAUGGACUAUACUCCCACUAUUCCUGAUGAAUUGGUGGAGCAUUACUUGGGUAAAAGUGGAUUUCAAUGUCCUGACGUUCGAUUAAUAAGGUUGGUGGCAGUUGCUACACAGAAGUUUAUUGCAGAUGUUGCCACCGAUGCUCUCCAACAUUGCAAGGCAAGGCAGUCAACUAUUGUCAAGGACAAAAGAGAUAAGCAGCAAAAGGACAAACGCCUUACCUUGACAAUGGAUGAUCUUUCAAAAUCUCUACGAGAGGUAAAGAUUUUAUGGAUGCAAUCGGGCAUAAUACCAUGGGUGUAUAAAAAGUAACCUCACAUUUAAAAAUGUGAUUCUCUACAAAGAGCUACUAAAUCAUCUUAUACCAACUGGGACCGGACCUUAUGGAUGCUCCAAAAAUUAUUUAGAAGCAAAAUACAUGCUCUCAUGGGUUGUAAGUAUGGUGUAAACGUCAAACAUCAAGAUUACUUUGCUGAUAGCCCGUCUGCUGGGUUAGAUCCUGCUUCAAGAGAGGAGUGACGUAAUGCCUGCAAACAAAUCUCUAUGAUCACAUUCAUCUGAUGGUUGUGAGGUCAUUGACCUGUCAUUCUCUUGAUUCUCAAAAGCUAUAUAUGUAUUGGAUGACAACUCUUGACUGCUAUGUAUCUCUAUAUAUUUGAUUCACUCA
Solanum dulcamara is the source of this 909-nucleotide RNA transcript. It is a transcript of the gene named transcription initiation factor TFIID subunit 10, with no coding region annotated. NCBI's taxonomy places the organism in Eukaryota, Viridiplantae, Streptophyta, Magnoliopsida, Solanales, Solanaceae. The record is from RefSeq and is a predicted model, not a curated record. The transcript has 7 exons.